This 361-nucleotide ribosomal RNA is filed under the name uncultured bacterium. Its description in RNAcentral is "bacterial SSU rRNA". It matches the Rfam family "Bacterial small subunit ribosomal RNA", at positions 355 to 733 of the family's 1533-position model. The record is from RNAcentral.
UCGGGAAUUUUGGGCAAUGGGCGAAAGCCUGACCCAGCAACGCCGCGUGAAGGAUGAAGUAUUUCGGUAUGUAAACUUCGAAAGAAUAGGAAGAAUAAAUGACGGUACUAUUUAUAAGGUCCGGCUAACUACGUGCCAGCAGCCGCGGUAAUACGUAGGGACCAAGCGUUGUUCGGAUUUACUGGGCGUAAAGGGCGCGUAGGCGGCAAUUCAAGUCAUCUGUGAAAUCUCCGGGCUUAACUCGGAACGGUCAGAUGAUACUGCUUUGCUAGAGUGCAGAAGGGGCAAUCGGAAUUCUUGGUGUAGCGGUGAAAUGCGUAGAUAUCAAGAGGAACACCUGAGGUGAAGACGGGUUGCUGGG